UACGUAGGGCGCAAGCGUUGUCCGGAAUUAUUGGGCGUAAAGAGCUCGUAGGCGGUUUGUCGCGUCGGGAGUGAAAUCCACUGGCUUAACUGGUGGCUUGCUUUCGAUACGGGCAGACUGGAGUAUGCAGGGGAGAACGAAUUCCUGGUGUAGCGGUGAAAUGCGUAGAGAUCCGGAGGAACACCAAAGGCGAAGGCAGUGUGCCUGGGAGUA
Molecule: ribosomal RNA, 213 nt
Filed under: uncultured bacterium
Lineage: Bacteria
Description: partial 16S ribosomal RNA
Rfam family: Bacterial small subunit ribosomal RNA
Source: RNAcentral